This 269-nucleotide ribosomal RNA is filed under the name uncultured bacterium. RNAcentral's name for it is "partial 16S ribosomal RNA". It matches the Rfam family "Bacterial small subunit ribosomal RNA", at positions 524 to 795 of the family's 1533-position model. The record is from RNAcentral.
UACGGAGGGUGCGAGCGUUAAUCGGAAUUACUGGGCGUAAAGCGCACGCAGGCGGUUUGUUAAGCUAGAUGUGAAAGCCCCGGGCUCAACCUGGGAUGGUCAUUUAGAACUGGCAGACUAGAGUCUUGGAGAGGGGAGUGGAAUUCCAGGUGUAGCGGUGAAAUGCGUAGAUAUCUGGAGGAACAUCAGUGGCGAAGGCGACUCCCUGGCCAAAAGACUGACGCUCAUGUGCGAAAAGGUGGGAGCAACAGGAUUAGAUACCCGUAGUC